Molecule: unclassified non-coding RNA, 235 nt
Filed under: Hevea brasiliensis (rubber tree)
Lineage: Eukaryota; Viridiplantae; Streptophyta; Magnoliopsida; Malpighiales; Euphorbiaceae
Source: RNAcentral
AAACCUGUAAUUUUAUGGGCCACCAAAUAAGAAAAUGAGGUCAGGGAGCUUGUUUAUUGAGAACAUUUCUACUAUCUCCAUCAAUUCCUGGCAGUUUAAACUACACCACCAAAACUAUAAGGCUGCAAUUUAAAUACUUCAAAUAUCUUCUGGGAAGUGAAAGAUCAUUGUGGCAAUUCAUCAAGCAAUUAUAUGAGUUCAAAAUUCAGAAAAUCUACAGCUAGCAUCAACUCUA